UACAUGUGGGGCAAGCGUUGUUCGGAAUUACUGGGCGUAAAGGGCUCGUAGGCGGCCAACUAAGUCAUACGUGAAAUCCCUCAGCUUAACUGGGGAACUGCGUCUGAGACUGAUUGGCUCGAGGACAGGAGAGGAACGCGGAAUUCCAGGUGUAGCGGUGAAAUGCGUAGAUAUCUGGAGGAACACCGGUGGCGAAGGCGGCGUUCUGGACUGUUUCUGACACUGAAUAACGAAAGCCAGGGGAGCAAACGGG
RNAcentral lists this ribosomal RNA (253 nucleotides) under uncultured bacterium. RNAcentral describes it as "partial 16S ribosomal RNA". It matches the Rfam family "Bacterial small subunit ribosomal RNA", at positions 524 to 776 of the family's 1533-position model. The record is from RNAcentral.